AACUGUUGGCCUCGGUCGUAGUACCACCAUUCUGCAAUACAUAACGACAAUCAUUAGUGAUACUAAUACCUCCUGAGGGAUCACACCCACAACAAGUUCCCUGGUCUUGUCUCAGCCUUCCUUAGUUCGGGUACGGAUCCUUUACUUUCAAUAGUAUGGGCCCAUACUACCUUCCAUAUCUAUCCGUACUGCUGAUCACUGCUAUACUCAUCCUAGGCUUACCCAAGGAAAUCCUCCGACUCCACCCAAACCAGUCCUCAGCUGCUGAAGGCCUCCUCGUAAUGCCAAUUAGUCAUUACCUGGAUAUCAUCACAUGUGAUGAGGCUCAGAUAAUCCUUCGAGUAACAGACUCGUCCCUACAACGGUUAGGCUCAAACAAGAGCUGCGCAAUAGGGUCAAACCCAACACUCUAAGAUUAUUCAACCCUGAUCACAUGUGACGUGACGUAUUCACCUAAUGGCUAACUCCCAUUCUUCAGAGUCCCACAAAGCACAAAGCAAGCAGCGUUCAGACAAAAAAGGGAACAAUCUCAAGCAAAUCCGUUCUCAUAGAGAGAAACUACACUAGCAUACCAUGCUAAACUCGUACUAUCAGGCAUAACCUAAAUAGGCUAUCCUACUGUUGUCUACUCAAUUCUAGCAUGCAAUUCUCAUACACUGAAGCACAUAAAGCAGGCACAUAAGGCAUCACUCUUAGAUCCUUAGUCCUAUUCUAGCAUGUUGUUCUACUAAAACUGAUCAACAUAACAUAAACUUGUAUGGGUACUUUGGGGAAUACCUACUUGAGCUCGGUCGGUCGCACACAUCACACCCUUCUUUCUUUCUCAAAACACUUUUCUUAACUUUGAGAAAACAUUUUCUUUUUCAAAAUCCUUUAAUCCCUCGAUUUGAGUUCAGACACCCCUGAAGGUGUGUCCGAAUCCCUCAAACCAGGGCUAUGAUACCAACUUGUAACGACCCAUUUUUCACGUCCAAAAUUUUCAUUUUUCAAGCAAUACUUAAUAAAAUCAUUUGUAAAUAAACAUUGUCCGAUCAAACCAUUUCAUAAACAUAUACUAUGUCUGAAAACCAAAACAUGUAAUCAAUCAAGAUGUCAGAGUAUAAAUCCCAGAACAAUCCCAUAAAUGCGGAAAACAGUGUGUGUGUAUGAUGUGCCGCUACUGCGCCAGCUCCUUCCCCUUCGACGAAGAGGUACCUGAAACCAAAAUUGUAAAGUGUAAGCACGAAGCUUAGUGAGUUCCCCCAUCGUACCACAUACCAUACAAUCACAUAACAUACAUACUGUCAGGCUAUUAUGGGGUGCCUGACUACCCGGUACGGCCAUUCUGGGGUGCCGUCUUACCCGUGUCAAGCCAUUCUGGGGUGCUGACUACCUAUGUCAAGCUAUUCGGGGGUGUUGACUACCCAUCGGUCCUAACAACCGAUCCCCAGGGACUAUUUCACCCCCUACUGCUACUAUCACAUAUAUCAUAACUUAACAUAUUAUCAGACAUAUCUGGGGUGUCUGAACUACCCUUCGGUCCUAACAACCGAACUCUACCUCCUGCUACCUCUGGCUCAUAUAACAGAUCAUACUAGCAUAUAAACAUAACAUCAUACACUAUCAAACAUAUCUGGGGUGUCUGACUACCCUUCGGUCCUAACAACCGAACUCUACUACUAUCACAUAUAACAUAUCAUGCUAGCAUAUAACAUAUCAGGUAGCAACAAACCUAGAUGAAUAUCACACAGACAAUCAUCUAACACCCAACUUCUACUGGUGGGCCGGCAUUGUGGUCGUAGACCCACUGCUACUUGAAAGGAAACUCACCUCAAAGUAGCUGCUGAUCUGAGCGGGAACUGACUGUCUACUGCUGCUGCUGCUGCUCCAGAAGUCCUCCGGAUAUAAUUCCCACAAAACGUUCAGUCAAACACUGCUAGCUGUACUUAGGGUAAAAUGACCAUUUUACCCUUGACCAGGUCAAAGUCAACUUCCAGUUGACCCGACUUGCCGAGUUGGCUCACCAACUCGUCGAGUCCCUAUCCAUUCGAUUGUCCUUAAACCCGUCUCUACUCGUCGAGUUAGGUACGACUCGACGAGUUCUCCUUCCAAACUGACGUUCAAUAGUCCUUCAUCCUACUCGCCGAGUUGUAUGAACAACUCGUCGAGUUCAUCUUCAUCCGAAGAACAGUCUAUGAUGCGACUCACCGAGUUGUAUGAACAACCCGUCGAGGCUGUUCUUGAGGCAAGAAGAUUGCCUAGGACUCGUCGAGUCAGGGCAUUGACUCGCCGAGUCCCUCCAUCACUGAAUAUGGCUUCCGAUUCACUGAGUCCACCCAUGACUCACAACUCCACUCAUCAAACACGAAAAAGGGGAAAACUCAGGGACUCACGACUCGACUCGCCGAGUCCGAUGAACGACUCGCCAAGUCAUUCACAUGCAAUUACUAUAUACUCGAUUUUGCUUGAAUCCAGCUCAUGCCAUACAUAGAUCUAGGUUCUUAGGGUUGGUUUUGCACGUAAAGUUUCCAACUUUACGUGCAUGCAUGCUCAUUCAAGGGAUUUAAGGAUUUUUAUGCGGUUAGAAGUAUAGAUCUAGGCUUGAUCAUGAAAAUGGCCCAUAAAGGUUAUAAAUUUGAGCUUCUUGAGCUCAGAUGUGGUCAGAUCUAAAGGCUAAACGAAUCAAGGAGUCCUCUAGACCACAACCAAGCCAAUAAAUGACUCCAAAAAGUAUUAAAGAUGCUCUAAUGAAGGUUCAACCAUAGAAACAGAAGAAGGGGGUCGAGUUUUUACCUUACUAAUCUCUGAAAUGGGUUCACAACUUCUGUUCUCCUCCUUCUCCUUGAUCUUUCUUCCUUCUCUUCUUCAAAGCUUCAAAGAAACACACACAAACACUCAAAUCACAAAAGGAAAGGUUAAGGUUCCUCUGAGAGUGAAGGGGGCGACCUUGGGGGCACAUAUGGUGGUUUAAAUAGGGUGCAAACCCUUGAAAUUAGGGUUUCAUUCAGACAGCAGGGACUCGCCGAGUCCAGAAUGUGGACUCGUCGAGUCGCCAACUUAAACGUGCUCAAUGCCCCGAAUCUACUCGGCGAGUCGGGCCUGCAACUCGCCGAGUCCAAGGCUAAAUAUGUAAUUCACUUAGAUAGAUUAUACGUACCAGGAACCAGGUGCUACAAAUCUCCCACACUUAUUUUAGACUCCGUCCUCAAAGUCUGCUGCUCGANCUCGGGGUAAUGCUCCAUCAUUUCUUCCACCGGCUCCCAAGUCCACUCCGAACCCUUCCGGUCCUGCCAUUGCACCUUCACUAAUUCCACCCUCUUGUUCCUCAGAUCCUUCGACUUCCGGUCGAGGAUUGUGACAGGGCGCUCAAUGUAAUUCAGGCUGUCAUCCACCUGAAUAUCCUCCAACAGCACCACUGCUGAGUCAUCCACUAGGCACUUCCUAAACUGGGAGACAUGGAAGGUGUUGUGGAUCUGACUGAGUUCGGCUGGCAGAUCCAGCCUAUAUGCCACCUUGCCCACCCGGGCUAUAACCCUGAACGGUCCAAUGUAUCUCGGGCCCAACUUGCCCCGCUUCCUGAAUCGAAUGACGCCCUUCCAAGGCGACACUUUCAGGAGAACCAUAUCCCCGAUCUGGAACUCCAGGUCUGAUCGGCGCUUGUCGGCGUAGCUUUUCUGGCGACUCUACGCAGACUGAAGCCUGCUCUGAACCUGUUGAAUCCUCUCGGUAGUCUUGAGCACCACUUCGGUGCUCCCCAUGACCCUCUGGCCAACUUCACCCCAACAUAUCGGGGUCCUGCACCUCCGUCCGUACAACAUCUCGAAUGGAGGACGGUCAAUACUCGCGUGGUAGUUGUUGUUGUACGAGAACUCAGCCAAUGGAAGAUAGGUAUCUCAGCUACCACCGAAAUCUAGCAUGCAUGCCUGCAACAUAUCCUCCAGAGUCUGGAUGGCCUGCUCACUCUGACCAUCCGUCUGCGGGUUAGGCAUGACAUAUCAUAUUCAGCCAAUGUUUUCAGGUGACACUGUUUCCAUAUUCCAACAUCCUCAAUAUUCUUAAACUGGUUAGAAGAAAGAUCAAGCUCUAGAAGGUUAGGCAUACUAGGAACCAAUGAAUUCAACUUGUUUUCCUAAAGGUAAAGAACUUUUAGGGAACUCAUGUUACUGAAAACAGAUGGAAAUAUGUCUUCAAUUGAAUUUUGGCUAAGAUCCAGGUAUUGGAUGUUAGAAAGCGUACUGAUAUUAAAAUGAGUGGAAGAUAGAUGUGUGUUAUGGAGGCCACAACGUGACAAAUUCAGCUCUGAUAAAGAGGAAGAGAUCAUGUUUAUCAGGCUUGCAAAGUUCCAUGACAAACUAAGAUUAAAUUUUGAAAGAUCCAGAAAUUCAAGGGAUGUCAUGUUUCUGAAAAAUCGAGGGAGUGGAUUUUUGAAAGAAUUGAAACCAAGAUCAAGGUGUUUCAUGUUGGCAAGUAUUCUACUUGAAUUAAGAGAAGAACCAAGAUCAACAUUGGAAAGUCCACACUUAUACAAACUUAACUCUUUUAAUAAAGGAAGAUAGUGAAGCACCAUGUCCAUGUUCAUUGCUCCGCCAAGAUCCACCCAACUCAAGUCGAGAUGCUCGAGUGAUGGAAGGCCAAAAGUCCAUGACAUAUCAUUUGACACCAGAUUGAAGUUUGAACUGAGAUCCAAAACCUUUAAAUUAGAAAGAUUUCCAAUGUGAGGAUGAAUAAUACCUUGAAAACCAGAGAGAUUGAGAUAUCUCAGCUGGUUGAAGGACCCAAUGAACUCAAGGAUCCGAAUUCCUAGAAAAUGAUUCCCACUCAAGUCCAGGUACUUGAGAUGCCUCAACUCAACCAAUGAAGAGUUCACCUCAUUUCCAACUAAGCAGUUGUCUCCACCAUCAUAGUAAUCUCCUCUGAGAUUGAGGCUGUCAAUGGUUCCAGUGAGACUGUCACAGUGGAUUCUUUCCCACAGGCAACAAUCCUUCCCCACCCAUGAUGACAAUAUUUUACAGUCAUCUACAGCACUGUGUUUUGUGUUUGAACCUGAGAAGAGCAAUUCGCUCUUUCUGAGAGCAAGCCACAAUCACAUUUUCAACACCCAAACAAGUAUAUUUGGUUGCAACCAAAAUAACACAUACGAAAAUGAGGAAGAUCCCUAAACCCCUCGGAGUCCCCAUUAUUAACCCUCCUUUUUAAUUUAGAAUAAAGUUGAAGUGGAAAUAUAGGUUGUUAUAUUGAAGAAACCACUUCAUUUAUAAUGCCAUAUGAUAUUUGCAUAUUUAGUCUUAAAUUAAGUAUAGAUUUUUAUCAUUUUUUUAGCUAAUUUAUUGAAUAUCAUGGACAAAUGAUACUUAAAAGUGUUUGAAUUGUGUUUUCAGUCCAAAAGCGAAGCUCGAAAGUAAAAGGAAGCAGGUGAAGCGGUUGGGAGCUCGGGAGUUGAACAAAGAAGAAAAAUACCAAAAAUACAAGGUACUCGGCGAGUAGGGUCGACUACUCGGCGAGUCGCAUCGAAGAUUCAAGAAGAUAAAGACUCCUUGACUUACCGUGUUUGGGAAUUACGGGAUGGACUCGACAAGUCGGUCAUGGACUCGACGAGUCGGGUUGAAUCUAUAAAAACAACUUUUCAGAUCGACACAAGGAAUUCUGGAACCCUUUGGGGAGAAGCAAGCUGCGAAUUAAAGUAAGAAGAGAUUUGGAGAACGAAGAUACAACCCUAAACCUAAUCCUGAAGGAGAUUUGUGGCAAAUUUACAUCAUUCUUACUUUAAUCUAUUGUUUUUCAUCAUGUUAAGACUUUUAGAUUUCGUUUUUAUGCGGUUAAUUACCUUAAUCAUGAGCUAAAACCUUAAAACUUCUGUUUGGGGAGACAAUAUUGAUACUAUGGUUUGAUUUAUAGUAGGAUUGAUUUAAUAUUGGUGAUUUUGUUGAUUCUAGCUUGUUAAAGAACCUUAUGUCUGAAUAAUAACUAUUUUUCUGUUAAUAGGAAGAUAAUUAAGUUGCAUGAACAUCUCUUAAUUGUUUACCUCAUAUGAUUUAUGUGAACACUUUAUUAUAUGACUAGGAUUAGCGACUGUGAAACUAGAAUUAAUAAGAAAAAUAGGUAAAUUCAUGUGUGAGCUUGUGUGAUGACCAUCAACAAGAGGUUAACUAAAGGACCAAAUUAGUUAACCAUUACAAGUCUAAAUUAACCCGAAUAAAUAACCUAGUGAAUUGAAUUAAAUUAGACAAUUGGCCACUGUUUGAGUUAGUUUGUUCUCUAAGGAUUAGUGCAACGAACGUGAAUCUAAUCACUUGAAUCGGUAGCCAAUAGAAGAAUUAAUCCAUUAUACUAUUACCAUAAUAUCAACCAUAGGAUCAAUGGAGUUGAACUAAACAGAAGUUCCCUUCGUUAUUGAAUUUAGUUGAAUCUUUGUUUAUCUAGUUUUUAGUUAAUUAGUCUAAGUAAUAGUUAGUAAGUUUCUAGUCUUGUAAAACUAGAGAAAACCCCUUUUUAUUACUAAAUUUUAGAUAAAAUUAGUUUUUAGUUUUAAUUCUCCAUUCCCUGUGUUCGAUACCCUACUUAUUUAGCUUUACCACAAUUGAUAGGUCCACUGCCUUUGUGUGUUUAUUUUAUAAUUAAAAGUUGGAUUAAAACUAGUUGGUUUUACACACAUCUAGUUUUUGGCGCCAUUGUCGGGGAACGGUUCUAAAUUAGCACUAAUUUCUAGUUUUAUCGAUCCUUUGUGUGGGAUUUAUCUCACACAAAGUUAAUUCUUAGGUAAUUUAGUAAUUAGUAUAGGUUUUGAUAAAUUUCUGGUUUAAAAAGUUCAUUAGUAAUUUUUCUGUUUUUGCCUUGAACUCGCCGAGUGCACUCGAGUCAACUCGGCGAGUCCAUCGAUGUUUGCAGUUUUAGUUUUUAUUUUAUUUUUGUUCUUUUUACGCGUUUUUUCUUCUUUUGUUUGCAGUUGUUUCAUGACCCGAGGAUCUGAUACGCCUUUAGUCCCUCCACUCGAAGACCCGGAGUCCGCCCUAAAGAAGAACAAAAGAAAAUCCGUUGGAGAAUCCGCUUCUUCGAAGAGCUAGCCGUUGAAGAAUCUAAAAUCCGUUUUCAGCAAGAAAAAGGGCAGCAAAUUAAGAGCAUCCAGCGAUUUUAGAUGAAGUCCCCAUGGGGGAAUGGAAGAAGAAGACCCCACAUUUGGGCACGAAUUCGACUUUGACGACGAGUUAGCUAUUCCCAUGGAGAACAUCGAUGAAGUCCCCAUGGGGGAAUGGAAGAAGAAGAUGUGUGAUGACACCGGCCCGGGACUUAUGCAACCCGCAAUUCCCGCUACUGCUACUUUCGAAUUAAAGGGCCACAUACUCGCUCAACUAAAGGAGAUCCCCUUCUACGGAAAAGAUACGAAGACACCUAUAAGCACUUGGAUGAAGUCAAUGAUGUAGCUGAUUACUUCAAUGUUUCAAAUGUGCCUCGCGAGACCCAACUACUUCGUAUGCUUCCAGUCACAUUUAAGGGUGAUGCAAAAGAUUGGCUCAAGUCACUCCCUCCCGGAUCCAUCACCACAUGGGCUAAAGUGAAAGAAGAAUUUAUUGAGCAUUUUUGCCCACCUUCUAAAAUAGCCAAGUUGAAGAAGGUUAUUGCUAACUUUGAACAACAACCCGGAGAGUCCCUUUAUGAGGCGUGGGAGAGGUACAAAAGUCUACUAAGAAAUUGCCCACACCAUGACCUUAAUAGCCAACAAGAAGUCUCCAUCUUCUAUGACGGAGUCAAUGUCACGACAAGGCAAUUACUUGACUCGCAAGGCCAGCUCACAAAGAAAGCACCCCCGGUGAUCAAAGAAUUAAUUGAAGAGUUCUCUAAACAUUCUAGAAAAUACCACAACCCACGUAAUGAAGUAAGUAAGGGGUAGUGAACACGGUUAAUGAUGGCAUGGCGAGAAUGAUGGCUAAACUAGACAGUUUAGAUAGGAGAAUGACGAAGAUGGAUCAAACAAUCCAUGUUAUCCGGGUAGGAUGUGAGAAUUGUAGGGGACCUCACCUAACUAAAGAUUGUGACUUGGAUGGGAAUGGAAACAAGAAGGCGCAAGUGUUCUAUUCAAGUGGUGACAGGUACGAUGAGAAUUGGCGGAAACCCAAGAAGGAAUGGCUCCCGUACGAAGAAUACAAAAAGGCAAAGGAAGAGAAAUACAAGCAAAAAGAGAGGGGUUUCUAUCAAAAGGAAGAACCGGUUGUGGAAAAAAGAGCCGAUUUAGAAGAGAUGUUCACAAGAUUUAUAGCCGCGUCCGAGAAGAGACACAAUGAUCAUGAUGCUGCAAUACAAGAGACUAGAACAAUACUUAGGAAUUAGCAAGCAUAUAUUCUCAACAUUGAAAAACAGCUAGGGCAACUUGCACAUCAAGUGAACAAGAGAAGACCGGGUGAACUUCCAAGUAAAACCGAGAAUAAUACGAGAAUGGAGAAUGUGAAUGCUAUAACAUCUAGUUUUGGGGAGAUUUUCACUCCUCUGACCCCUGCACAAAAGGUCUCAACUAAGGUGCAUGCAGAAAAGACAGAAGAGCCGAGUUCAGCUAAACCCGACACGACUCGCCGAGUCCCUCUAAUGGACUCGAUGAGUCCAUGGUCUGAUGACAAAACUGUUGUUUCCUUAAAGCCUUACAGGCCACCUUUGCCAUUUCCAAUUCAAGCCAUACCUGAUGAAAAGGUUAAAGCGUACAGAACUUUCAUGGAACAUGUAAAAGCCCUUCAAGUCAACAUCCCAUUUGCUGAAACGAUGCUUCAAACACCUAAAUAUUUAAAAUUGCUUAAGAGUCCCUUUACUGCUAGAAAAGAUAUGGUUGAAGUCGCAGAAUUAAUAUUAAAUGAACUACCAUAAAAGAAGGGCGAUCCGGGAAGCAUCUCAAUUCCUUGCCAAUUUGGAAAUAUACUUGCUACUCACGCAUUGACCGAUUCUGGUGCAAGUAUUAACCUAAUGCCUUUUUCUUUCUUCAAGAAGUUGAAUUUACCGGAGCCAAAGCCUAUCAAUAUGAAGAUCCAUUUAGCAGAUAAGACAAUCAUUCGUCCAAAAGGUGUUUGUGAAGAUCUUCUCAUAAAGGUGGACAAAUUUGUAUUUCCGGUGGACUUUGUAGUGCUUGACAUGGAAGAAGACCCCAAAGUUCCAAUUAUUUUGAGAAGACCAUUUUUGAACACCGCAUGUGCAUUAGUAGAUAUGUGCGAGUCCACACUAACACUACGAGUAGGAGAUGAGUCGAUAGUGUUUAAGGCUAUACAAGAGAUUAAGCAAGAAGAACCAAGAAAAGAAGAAGUUUCCUCUAUUGACUUGGAUGAUGAAUUAUUACAAAAAAGAACUUGCACUCUUACAAGAAGAAGAUCCAAGUAAAUUUCUACUACCUUCUGGAGAAAAUUUUGAUGUUGAAAAAGACUUAGAGGAGAUAGAGAAGUUGUUGAAAGGAACUGAUUCAGAAGAAUCAAUGGAAUGUGAGGAAGUCGCACCGACUCACCGAGUCAAUUCGACAGACUCGACAAGUCCAGUUGAAGAAUUCAGCAAUUUGGAUUACCUUGACCUGCUUGUUACCAGUUCCUUGCCUGAUUUUGAUAUGAAGAUUUUUUCUGAUUAUUUAGAAGAUGAAGCAGCGGAAGGCGAAAUUGUUAAAGCGUAUUGUGACUUCCAAAACGUUCAACUAGCUUACCUCGAUACAAUGAUGCAAAAAGAUGAAGACAUUCGACUUGACGAGGAGGCAAGCUUUGGAGAAGAGGAGAAUGCAAAGGCUCGGAAAGAUGAUGCUGAUAACCCAUUCAUUGAGUCACGUAUAACCAAACCUCGAGCCCGAGUUUUUACUAAUUAUGAAGUAAUUACGUUCAAAGAAGAAGAAGUACAAAAGAGGAUUCAAGAGAAUGGGGUGAAGAAAAAGAAGGUUGGGAAACGGAACACGCAUGCAAUUGAAGAAGAUGCCACAAGGAAAAAGAGAGAAGAAUUGAGACGGGCAUAUAAGAGGAAGAUACACGCCUAUAAAACAAAGUAUAAACCGCAAAAGAUUAAGCGUGCAUUCCCGAUGCAGGAAAGCGAAGAAACGUAGAGCGGGAAGGAGUCUAGCUAACGACUCCUUAAAAACAAGCGCUUAGCGGGAGGCAACCCGUCAUUAGAGUUUGAUUUCUUUUACCUUUUAUUUAGUUUUAGUUUUUCGUUUUUAGGAUUUUCUGUCUUCAUCUUCUAAAUCAUCAAACAUGAUUGCUUGAGAGUACGCAUGGCCUGAGUGUGGGGUGGAUUGAACAUUUUAUAUAAAUAAAUGACAAAAUGAUUUAAUUUUUGAAAUGUUUGCAAGUGACUCGGCGAGUGGGUACCUCGACUCGACGAGUCUAUUCAGAAUCCAGAUAAGUUACAUUUCGCGACGAGACUCGUCGAGUCUAACCCUGACUCGACGAGUCGAUUUUAUUUACUGAAAAAUAACAAUAAUUAUAUUUUUACAUCUGGUAAAACUAGGGUUUUUACCCUAAUUUGAACAUAUCUCAUCGAUACUCGCCGUGCACCUCUUCUUGUUCUCUCUCAACCCCUCAUCAAGUUCUUCCAAUUUUUUUUCAAAUUUCACAAAUUUCAUCAAGCAAGGUACUUAAUUUCUUCUAUAUUACUGUUAAAUUCAUGAUUUUUAGAUGUUUAGAAGAGUCAAUUUGAUUGAACACCCAUUUUUGAAAUUCUAGAAUUUUUAGGGUUUUGAUUUUGGUUUAAUUAUGGUGUUUUGGAUGGAUAUUCUUGCACUAAUAUACCUUAUACACAUUCCUAGACAAACCCUUGGACAAAUUUUGAGUUUUUAUGGGUGCAUUUUCACUGAUCCGUCGACUAACUCGCGCAGUUCAUCAGACUCGCCGAGUCUGUCAUGGACUCGACGAGUCCAGUCGGGAACUAAGAUAGAUUCUGUUUUAAAGUGUUUCUGUGUUUUCUAGAUUGUUUGUUAUUUGUUUUGUAGAAACAUGUUUUCACGGGGUCAGAGCUCAUAAGGAAGGCAAGAAGAUUUCCCUUGGUUGAACUUUCCACACAUCGAGUCCCAAUCCACGAUGACUAGGUGGAAGAAGAAACUUGCAGAUAUCCGGAAAAAGGAGAUUUGUGUACCCAAUGCGAUUGACUGGGGAUGGCUACAGAAUGUCCGAUACGAAGAAGAGUUGGCACCAUACCUUGUUAAGGAAUUUACUCAUAAUGGGGUGUCAAUCACGUGCGAUGGUUAGAGUAGUUUGUUUCGUAUCCGGGAGUUGGUCUAUCGAGAAUUGUGCUUGGAAUUUUUCUCCACAAUAAAUUUCCGAGGUGGGGAUGAUUAUUAUAGCCCUGAGAACAUCACUUUUUGUCUUGGGGUGAGGUUCGUAAAUGUUCUAUGGUUGAAUUAGCUUGGAGGUUGGGAAUUUAUGACCAAAACUUGACUCACACAACUGCAUUUGGUAUUUUUUUUUGGAGCAUUGCCGUAAGGUAUUCCCGGAUGGUGUCACGAGCAUGAAUUGGUGGAACACCAUUGCCAACAAACUUUACAUUCCCAAAUCCGCUCAAGAGGGAAGCAUACGAUCACCCACUCACCGCCUUAUUCACCGCCUUAUUUCCAACACUAUAAAUCAACAAAAGGAUGAUGACAAGGUUUCUAACAUUGAUGUCUUUUAUCUUUGGAGCAUCAUUACACCCAACACCUUUUGCAACAUUCCAUGGUGCAUAGCUUCGUAUUUGGCGGAGGGAGCGGUCAAGGACUGCAAAACUUCAAAAAUUAACGGGGGUAUGUUCGUGACACGUUUAGCCCACUCUUAUGGGUUAAUGACUCAUGGUGCUUGGAAUUUCAUGACGAUGACUCCGACCCCUCCUUUUAAUCCUAUUCUUUUUCGUAGGGCGAGAAUUAUUGAGGAUUAUGGCGGGGGACAUUAUGCUAUUCCCAAUGACGAUCUGGUGAUCGGGCCCGAGGCACCGGGACGGAGGGUUCGAUCAAGACGUGAGCAGGAAGUGGAAGAGGAACCGUCGGUGAUUCCCAUGGAAAAUGACGAAGUACCAAUGGAUUGGUACAAUGUUGAGAUGAGGCGGCUACAAGACCAAAUGGCGAGGGCCGAGGGGUAUAAAUUUUAGCAACGAAUCCCACGUUCGGCUUUUUGAUCAUUUUCAUAUUCCACACAUUGAUGGGGGUAACUUCCCCUACAUUCCAUCUUGGGACAAGGUCAUUAACGAAAGGCGGAGUGGAGCUGAUGGGAGCGGAGCUGUGCAUGGCGAUGAUAAGGAAGAGGGUGAUGAUUAGUUUCUUUUUAUUUAUGUUUUGUUGAACAAUUUGUUUUUGUUUUUAUUUUGUUUGGUGUGUUUUGAAUUCUUAAUUAGGACUUAAACUGAUGUGCUUGAUGUUUGAUUUGACUUGGUUCCUUUUAGAAUUUGGGUUAGGAAAUGCUUGCAUAAGGAGUCUUGAGAAUGUGAGAAAAACAUGGAAACGAGUCAAUAAAGGUCGACGUAUUGAGUCUAGGUGUCGAGUCCAGCCUUAAAGGGUUUAUGAGUGAAUAAUUACUGAAGCAAUGGGAAGUUUUUGAAGUCCACUACAAGCUGGAUUCAAGAUAGAAUCUAUUUAUUUUUCACCCAGCAAUGACUCGCCGAGUGCACUUGUAAGACUCGACGAGUCGCAAUAUAUUUUCACGACUUCAACAUUAUCGCGCUAUUACUCGACAAGUCGUUUAUAUAACUCGACGAGUCAUUCAUUUUUCUACCACAAGGGCUGUUGAUUUGAUGUUGUUAUCUACACCACUUGACCACUUUAUCUUUGCAAUCAAUUCCUGAAGAUUUUACAGUAUUUUUCCUACACAUUUGGAGCUACCCACAUGCGAUUUGAUGCCCAAGACAUGGAUGAGUUGUUCCCAUGUCUAAAGUCGAUUGAAGUAGUUGAGCCUAUAUACGUUCUAGUGCAUUGUGGCUUCCUUAUUCCAGUAAAAUCAUGGGACAAAAACACGACCUUGCUUAUCCCGAAGGAUGCAAUAUGUUUAGCAUCGUGUACCAAAAAUGUAUCCAGGAAAAUUAUUAUCUUUAGCCAAUAAAGGUUGAAGUUGAGCGUCCCUGCAUAAGCAUGUAGGGUUUUGAGUAAAAAAAAAAAGGUGAGUUACAUGUGAAAAAAAAAAAAAAAAAAAGAGGAAAUUACAAGAAAAAGUUUGAAGAAUUUUUGGAGCAUCAAAGUUAAAGUAUAAAUAUCAAAAUUCUGAAAAGUUCAAAAGUUGAAGAUACCCAAAAAUCAAAGAUCAAACUGUCAAAGAAGUGAAGAUGAAAAAGAUCUCCAUAGUGGUAUCAUAAAUUGUAAUUUCUAGAUUAUGUAUGCUUGGGUUGCUCAACCAAAAAUACCUUGAGGAUAGGAGAUUUUCUGCGGAUGGAUUGGGAGGGAUGCAUAAAAUGAGCAUUGUUCGAGAUAAGUGGGUGAAUGUUUAUGAGGAUUGUAAGUAUUUGGAGUAUUGGGGGUUUUAGCAAAAUUUUAGACAUAAAUGCACGCGUUGCGGUUCUGACAUAAUGGUUGGGUUAGAUUGGAGUUGUCCUAUGUGAUUCUAAUGUGCUAAAAUUUAGUUUUGCUUGGGGGCAAGCAAAAGUCAAGUGUGGGGUAUUUUGAUAUUUGCAUAUUUAGUCUUAAACUAAGUAUAUAUUUUUAUCAUUUUUUUAGCUAAUUUAUUGCAUAUCAUGGACAAAAGAUACUUAAAAGUGUUUGAAUUGUGUUUUCAGUCCAAAAGUGAAGCUCGGAAGUAAAAGGAAGCAGGUGAAGCGGUUGGGAGCUCGGGAGUUGAACAAAGAAGAAAAAUAUCAAAAACACAAGGUACUCGGCGAGUAGGGUCGACUACUCGGCGAGUCGCAUCGAAGAUUCGAGAAGACUCCUUGACUUACCGUGUACGGGAAUUAAGGGAUGGACUUGACAAGUCGGUCAUGGACUCGGCGAGUCGGAUUGAAUCUAUAAAAACAACUUUUCAGAUCGACACAAAGAAUUAUGGAACCCUUUGGGGAGAAGCAAGCUGCGAAUUAAAGUCAGAAGAGAUCUAUAGAACGAAAAUACAACCCUAAACCCAAUCCCGCAUGAGAUUUGAGGCAAAUUUACAUCAUUUUACUUUAAUCUAUUGUUUUUCAUCAUGUUAAGACUUUUAGAUUUUGUUUUUGUGCGGUUAAUUACCUCAAUCAUGAGCUAAAACCUUAAAACUUCUGUUUGGGGAGACAAUAUUGAUACUAUGGUUUGAUUUAUGGUAGGAUUGAUUUAAUAUUGGUGAUUUUGUUGAUUCUAGAUUGUUAAAGAACCUUAUGUGUAAAUAAUAACUAUUUUUCUGUUAAUAAGAAGAUAAUUAAGCUGCAUGAACAUCUCUUAAUUGUUUACCUCAUAUGAUUUAUGUGAACACUUUAUUAUAUGACUAGGAUUAGCGACAGUGAAACUAGAAUCAAUAAGGAAAAUAGAUAAAUUAAUGUGUGAGCUUGUGUGAUGACCAUCAACAAGAGGUUAACUAAAGGACCAAAUUAGUUAACCAUUACAAGUCUAAAUUAACCCGAAUAAAUAACCUAGUGAAUUGAAUUAAAUUAGACAAUUGGCAACUGUUUGAGUUAGUUUGUUCUCUAAGGAUUAGUACAGCGAACGUGAAUCUAAUCACUUGAAUCGGUAGCCAAUAGAAGAAUUAAUUAAUUACACUAUUACCAUAAUAUUAACCAUAAGAUCAAUUGAGUUGAACUAAACAGAAGUUCCCUUCGUAAUUGAAUUUAGUUGAAUCUUUGUGUAUCUAGUUUUUAGUUAAUUAGUCUAAGUAAUAGUUAGUAAGUUUCUAGUCUUGUAAAACUAGAGAAAACCCAUUUUUAUUACUAAAUUUUAGAUAAAAUUAGUUUUUAGUUUUAAUUUUCCGUUCUCUGUGUUCGAUAUCCUACUUAUUUAGCUUUACCACAAUUGAUAGAUCCACUGCAUUUGUGUGUUUAUUUUAUAAUUAAAAGUAGGAUUAAAACUAAUUGGUUUUACACACACCACCAUAAAUGAAGAACAACUAAUUUCCAUGCCAUGGAAGACUUGAAGUCAAUGGACAUUUGCAUGCACAGGUUGAAUUUUUGUGGUCCCCAUGGUAGACGGCUAGACACAAUUGUAUACGGAAACAAUUCUUUUAAAAAGUGUAAAAUAAAUGACAAACAAACAAUUGUAUACGGAAACAAUUCUUUUAAAAAGUGUAAAAUAAAUGACAAACAAACAAUUGUAUACGGAAACAAUUCUUUUAAAAAGUGUAAAAUAAAUGACAAACAAGCAUUUAGAUUUUCAAGAAGUAUAGGAUAAUUUAUAAUAUUUUGUAAAUAGUAGUUAUAAAUUAUAAACUUGAUUUUGAUGUUCAAUCAUUUUACAUAACUGAGUUCAAAAAAAUAAGUUUUUCGUUAUUAUUUGACUUGACAAGGUUAUUGUGCAAAGCUUAAUUAAAAGAUACAUUAUGUAACUCGAAAUUAAAGAUAUUAUAUUAUUUUUUAUAAAAAGAUGUAUUUUCUCAAAUGCAUUACCAUUUUAUUAGACAUGAUAAUUUCAACCCAUUUAAUUGAAAAUUUGGUAUUUUUUAUAUUAAUAAUAAAAAUGUAAGAUCCCGAAAUGUCAAGAGUGGAGUUGAAGGGCUAAAAGAGUAAACUGGGAAAGAGCAACUCGGCGAGUCCAUGGUUGGACUCGGCGAAUAGAGUCGCGACUUGGUCGCGUGUUAAAUAGCCGACUCGGCGAGUCAAUAAGUUGGACUCGGCGAGUAGGCGCUGUAAGGAGAAAGCCCUAAAUCCGGGAGUUGAGCCUUAUUUAAGGAACCUCAUGGUUCCCUCCCAGCCUCCUUAUCACCCCCUUGAGUCCCAGAAACCCUAACUUCGUGGAGAAACCCCCUUAUAGAGUGAAUUGGAGCUUGGAGAGGUGGUUGUUGAAGAGAUCUUGAAGGAGAACAAGCUUGGAGCAAGGGGCUUUGCUGGGGUUCGAGUUCCAUUGCAGUUGGGACGUCCUUUUGAGGUAAAAAUCUUGUUCUUGAGCUGUUGUUCAUAUGGAUUCGUCAUUUUGGGGUUUGUGAGGAGUUUGUCUUUGGAUGUAUGGGAGUCUAGAGGAUAGAUCUGAGGUUGCUACCUCAGAUCUGGAAUGGAGAGGGAUCAGAGAGCAUUAAAGUCCCUGUGAUUGAGUGUGUAGUGAAGCUAUCAUGCCCUAAACUCUAGCCCUAAGGUGUUUAAGGCCUAAAUCUCUUUGGAUUCACGUAAAGUUUGCCACUUUACGUGAUGGAUGGGUUGUUGGAGGUUAGAUCUAUGUUUUGGAUCAAUUGCAUGGCCUGGAGUGCUUCUGUAUGGAUUCAGACCGAUGGCACUCGGCGAGUCACAUGGGUAGACUCGACGAGUUGCUUGAAGAUGAGCUGGAACUCGACGAGUUGGAAGAACAACUCGGCGAGUUGGAUGAAGAUGGCCUGGAACUCGGCGAGUCGUACGAACAACUCGGCGAGUAGGUUGAAGAUAGCCUUAGACCCGGCGAGUCUGUUCAUGGACUCGGCGAGUCUUGUUGAAGAGUCCCAAUAAUUGUUGAUCGAGUCGAGAAUCGAUGAGUCAAGGGAUGACUCGGUGAGUUGUGCGCGAGUGGACUCAGAGUUGUUGGACUCGACGAGUCUCGGGGUGACUCGACGAGUUAGGUCGCGGGUUGAGGGAAGUUCUGUGUAUGGGGACUCGGCGAGUUAUCGGGUUGACUCGGCGAGUAGGGUCAGUCAGGAGUUGACUUUGACCUUGUCCUUGACCAAGGGUUGACCAGUGGUUCCAGGGGCAUUGUGGUAAUUGUUGUUUAUUGUUUGAGUUCAGUGCAUUGGUGAUUGUUCAGUGGUGGAAAUCGUAUCAGUGAUCGGAGCAGCUUGGGUUACCUGUUCAGUCGGUAGUUUCGAGGUGAGUUAUCCUCACUAUAUCGACAGGGUCUACGGCACCAAGGCCGGCCCUUUUAUCGGAUUGAGAUCCGGGUAUUUGUUGUUAUGCUAAUAUUGUUAUGUUUGCAUCCUGGUAGUUAGGAUGGUAUGUGUUAGAGACCUGGGUGAGGUCGGUAUCAUGUUCUAUAGGGAGGUGCUAUGCUAGUGACCGGUUAGGUCGGUAUUCCUGGUUAGAGGGGUUGAUAUGUUAUGUGAUAUGCUUGAUCAGUUUGUUGAUUGUUAUCUGUUAUAUGCUUGUAUGUUUAUGUGCACAUGGUUAUUGGACUGGGGUUGGGUUGAGGCGGGUCCUGCUGUGUGUUGUAGGCCAAGAUACCCAGGGCGGACCGGUUGUCCCGAAGGCCCAGCAAGCGGAUCGGAUAAGCUGUAGGCCCGAAAAGGGCGGACCAGACGUGCCGAAUGCUCGGAGAGUGGACCAGACAGACUGAAAGCCCGGUGCGGGCGGACCAGUCAUACUGUAGACUCAGAGAGUGGGCCAGGUGGAUUGAAGGCCCGGUGAGGGCGGACCAAUCACACUGCAGACUCGAGAUAUGUGGCUAGACUUAGAGGGUGGACCAGGUGGACUGUAGGCCCGGUGCGGGCAGACCAGUCACACAGUAGACCCAUAGUGCAUGGCUGUUCUGUGAUCGGAUAUGUUAUGGCAUGUUAUGCGUGUAUGGUAUAUGUGGUUGGUAUUUUGGGGAUAUCUCACUAAGCUUUCGGGCUUACAGUUGUGGUUUUAUGUUUUUCAGGUUCUUCAGGAGACCGUGGCAAGGCAAAGACGUGAUCGUACCGCUCCUCGUGUUUACCUUUUUACAUGGUUCUGGGAAUACUCUGAUAAUUAAUGUAUUGAAAACCUUUUUGUGAUAACAUUUACUGAAAUGGGUUGUUUUUGAAAAAUUUAAAUUGGUUGGAUUUUUCGGUCGUUACAAAAAAUACAAAUUUUCAUAAUAAUAUAAAUAGAUAUAUAAAGAGACGCCGAUGAGAACGGGGUGGGGUGGGGUGGGGGUUUGGGAAUUUAUGGGACCCAAUGUUUUAAUAAUAAUAAAAAAUAAAGUAUAAAAAAUAAUUAAAAAUAUAAAAAAUCUAGGGUGUGUUUGGCUUAGCUUUUAAAAGCUCAAAAGUUCUUUUCCAAAAAGUUACAAAAAGUCAGGAAAUCCUGACUUUUCUAAAAAGUUGAUUUUCCUUGUAUUAAAACUCCAAAAGUUAUUGCCAAACAUCUUUUUGUUUUUUUUCUUUUACAAAAAAGGAUUUUUGGCUGUGAAAAGCUAAGCCAAACACCCCCUAGUAAGGGAAAAAAAUGUCUUUUUAGGUUUGUUAAGGAUAAAAAUCAUAACAAAACAAUACCAUAUGGAUGGUACAAAUUAAGAAAUAAUAAUAUUAAAUCUUAAACCAUAGAGACCAUUUAUAUAAUUUACCCUAGUUUUUUCUUUUAAAUUUGAUACCAAUAUUUUAAGAACUGUUUUUGGCUUUUAACAAAUAGGUGUUGGUGAAUUGGAACACUAUGGGAAAACGACUUAUCAAGGUAAUUAACUUUUUGGUAUAUUCACAUCUGGGUAACUAUCUUUUUUUUGUAUACAUUUAAGUAACAAACUUGUUGGAAGUGUUCACAUAUGACCAUUAUGACAUGCUGUAGCAGGUUACAUCCUAGAUGUGAACACUUUUGACAAGUUCGUUACCUAGAUAUGUAAAAAAAAAAAAAAUUACCCAAAUAUGAACAAAACGAAAAGUAAGAAUAAAUUACACGAAUGGUCCCUGUGGUUUGGAGGAAUUUGUGUUUUUGGUCCCUAACUUAUUUUUGUAACUCGGAUGGUCCUACUAUUUAUUUUUAUUGCGCGUUUGGUCCCUAUCUUACCUAAAAAGACUAUUGUGCCCUUAUUAAUUUAUUUUUUAAUUAGUUUUCUUAUUUAUGUAUUAUUUUUUACAUUUUUUAAAAAAAUAAUAGACCUCACAUAUUUGUAUCUUUUCGGAUGAUCUCUACUGUUUAUUUUUUAAUUAAUUUAUUUUUUAACUCGGAUGAUCCAUAUUGUUCAUUUUUGUUAUGUGUUUGGUCUCUGUCUUACCUAAAAAAGACUAUUAUGCCCUUAUUAAUUAAUUUUUUUAAUUAAUUUUCUUAUUUAUGUAUUUAUUCUUUAUAUAUUUAAAAAAAUUAAUAGACCCUACGAGUUAAAAAAAUAAGUUAGGUAAGACAGGGACCAAACGUGCAACAAAAAUAAACAUUAUGGUCCAUCCAAGUUAAAAAAAUAAGUUAGGAACCAAAAACACAAAUUCCCCCAAACCAUAGGGACCAUUCAUGUAAUUUACUCUUACUUUUUUUUUUGUUCAUAUUUUGGUAACUAAUUUUUUUUGUACGCAUCUAGGUAACAAACUUGUUGAAAGUGUUCACAUCUAGGAUUUAACCUGCUACAGCAAGUCAUAAUGGUCAUAUGUGAACACUUCCAACAAGUUUGUUACCUAGAUGUGUACAAAAAAAAAAGAUAGUUACCCAGAUGUGAACAUAACAAAAAGUUAAUUACUUUGAUAAGUCAUUUUCCCGAACACUAUUGAGGAAUAGUCAAUGGCCCAUGGCACAUGUAAAUGCAUUUGGCAAAAAGAAGUCUUCCACACAAAGACCUUGAAGUCAACAAAGCAAACCCACUAAUCACACCCAUAGACACAAAAAAAAAAAAAUAAAAUAAAAAAAAAAAAAAGGACAUGAUUGAUGCAUUAAGCAAGCAGAAUUUUCCAUGCAACUUCUCCAUAUCAAAUGUAUUCCUCUUUAAUAUUAUUAUAUGUAUCUUUUUAAUCUAAAAUAAAUUACUAUCAUAUUUUAACCUAAAAUAUCUUUAAUAUAACUACAUUUAAACAUUAAAGAAAUUAUAUAUUAAUAGUUUUUGAGUAAAUACAAGAAACCAUUAUGUGAUUUCAGGUAAUUAGCGUGUAUUGUCCUUUAACAUUUUUUUAAAAUUUGGACAGUCCCUAUGGUUUGGUUUUGUUUCGGGUUUGGUACCCAACAAACUUAAUAUGACUAUCUUGCGCUUAAUGAUAUUUUUCUAUAAUUUUUUAAUUCAUUUUUUAUUAUUAUGUUAUUAUUAAAUUGAGUAAAUUAUUAAUGUCUAUAAUGAUACUUCACCAAACACCAGAUGCUGCCCUUGAAAUCACCUCCCCCACCAUUUCAUGCUUCUUGUAAAAGAUUGAAGGAUCCAGCCUCACACCAUUUUCCCCUCUGUUAUAGACAAAGAACAACAGUAUCAUCCAUUCCUGAUGAAAAUCAAAACCUCUUUCCUUAUAUUAUAGAAUACCAAGUUCACUCUAUCAGAUAUAUAAUCUCAACUUUCAUAAACAUGCUAAAAAUAGAAACGAAAAAAGAAAUGCACAUAAACCAUCACUGUGGAAGUUCACAGGAAUCACAAGUUUAGGGACGCUAGAAAGUAUAUCAGGUACUUAAUGAUCUUACACUUACACAUAUGCAAACUUUCACAACAUGCAAUGCCUACUGAAAAAGGUUUAUUUACUAAUGCAAAUUAAAAACAAAAAAACAAAACAAAAUCUAUUGACGUACAAUAAUUAUGGUAUCAUGUACCAGUAGAUAUCAAUACAAAACCUAAUCUAAUAAUAUUGGAGCAAUUACACACAUACAUUAUACAUAUAUAAUAUGUGGCCUAGUAAAACUGGACACACAUAAAUAAAUAACAAUUCAUUUGUAGGAACUGCUUUCAUAGCAUAUGAAGAAGAACCGGUUCCUAAUAUAGCAGCAAUACGAAAACAAACGCAAGAGAGCACAGAGGCUUUUCAUGAGCACAGGUCAACAUAGGACUAUAGUCUAUAGGUGAUUAGUUGAUACAAUAAAACAACAUAACCACUACCAAAGGGUCUACUGAGAAGCAGAGGUUUAAUUGAGUUUGAAGCAUUUCCUCCCUUAAACAGGUAAUUACAGAUUACGUGUUUAACAUUAUAUCUACCAUUAGGAACUGCAAGUGUCUUGCAAAACAGAGGCUAUCACCGUCUGCUUAUAUGCAUCAUUACCUUCUCUGUGUUACAGGUCCCAAUUUGUGCGACAAUUAGGUCAGACAGAAUCAUAAAAGCGUAGAUGGAUCAUUUUCCCGGUACACAUCAAUGCAAUUGGAUUAUAUUACACAUAAAAACAUAUUUGCAUCGUUUUCAAUAGCCCUAAAUUACUAUCUUUUUUAUCUUACAGAUCCCAAUUUGUGUGCUGAAUUUUCUUAAAAAACAAAUCCAGCAAAGUUCAUAAAAUAUAGAGAAUUAGGUCAAAGAAAAAAAGAAAAUCGGAAAACAUACCAAGGGAACGCCAUAUGAAUCGGCAGUGUAGGCUUCGCCUUUUCCCCGUUCUCAUCCACUUCCCGGUGACGAUAGUUUUUAGAGGACUGCAAAUUUGGGGGAAAUUUUGUUAAAAUGCUUAAAGGAACAAGAAGUGACGUUAGGUUACUAUGAUAAGAAAAAUUACGAUGUGUUUAUAAAUAUUUUGAUAUAUUUGUAAUCAUUACAUUAAAUUUGCAGAUUCAUAAUAACUUAAAACUAAAAGUUAUUUGGGUGUAAAAGUCCUAUAAAUUAUAUCAUAAAAAGAAGGUCGAGGUGGUUGGGAUCCGAAAUAAAAGUUGUCGUGAGAAUGAUAUAUUUAUUAUAUGAUAGUAAGGGAAGAAAAAUAAAAAGAAAAUCAUUUUUUCUUUGUUACUAGUUAAGGGGUACCAAUCGGUAGGCGAUCACACAAACACACCCUUCUCUUGUG
RNAcentral lists this long non-coding RNA (21552 nucleotides) under Lactuca sativa (garden lettuce). RNAcentral describes it as "long non-coding RNA (LSAT_LNC008733)". Lineage: Eukaryota; Viridiplantae; Streptophyta; Magnoliopsida; Asterales; Asteraceae. The record is from RNAcentral.